AGUAAAGAUCGCCCUUCUUCUUGAUUAAUUAAUUAACAACAAUUAUCUGCUCUUUAUAAAAUAUAAUGCAAGACUUUGCUGCAUCUUUACCUUUAAACUGGAAUAAGACAUUUACAUAGUGUUAAAAAUGGAAGAAAAUUAAGUUAAGUGUUUAAUUAAAGACAACGUGCUGUUGGCGUGCCAAGUGAUAUUAUGAAAGUGUUUUGCAGUCUAGUAAAGGAAUGUUGGGGCAAAAUUUCUUCAAAAUUUGACUUUGGACACAUUUAUUAAGUCACAGUAUAACAAAUGCGCACUUAAACAAUUGGCAGGUUAACCAAAAUUACUGGAUUUCAAAAAAAAAAAAUGGUGUCAUAUAGAAGUACAAUGAAAACAUUUAUAAAUGCGGACACGGUUGCAUCUGUCAAUACAUUGGACCCGAUUUUCGAUGACUCGGCCACACAUUUCAGCCAAAACUGUCGCUAUUUCCUGUUCAAUGUGGGCUAUGAGAUCUACGUCGUUUGCUUGUUGGCAUAGAUGUCGUUUGCUUGUUGGCAUAGACCAUUGACUUGAAGAAGCCCCAAAGAAAAUAGUCCAGAUGCGUCAAAUCGCACGAACGGGGCGGGGAAUCGACUCGAGAUAACACACUCAUCAAACUUACUCUUCAAUAAAACGAUCGUGAUAUGUGCUGUGUGGCUAGUGGCACCAUGCUGUUGAAACCAAAUGUCGUCCAUAUAUUCCAAUUUAGGCCAAAAAUAAUCAGUGAGUAUGGUGCGGUCACGUUGUCUAUUUAAGGUAACAUGGCGAUUGGUAUCGUCGAUGAAGAAGUAUGGCCCAAUGACGCCGCCAGCAUGCAAACCGCAUCAAACAGCUGUUUUUAGAGGAUGAAUAGUUGAUUCAUGAAGCACAUGUCGAUUUUCACCGGACCAAUAACGCAUAUUUCAUGUCACCGUAGCGCAGAGCAAUUAAUCACCAACAACAACAGGUACACCACAUGUACAAUAGAAGUCAUAAACACAUUGACACCACACUUCCUCAUAGUUGAAAUGACUUUUUCACAUAACCAUAAGAAAUUUCCAAGAUUUUCUUCUAUAUCUUUCUAUGACUAUCUAACAAUUGAGACAAAAGGUAGUUGCACAAGAAAACAUGUAAAGAAAUAAUGCUCCUGACACGACAUGCAUAGAUCAACGAUAGUAACACGCGAGAUGCCUACAUAGUGAUGCUUGUGCGAUAAUAUCCCCGCCUGUUCCCUUACCAUGUAAGAUGCAAACUUCCUCAAGCAAUCGAAUUUAUAUCAUAAAAUAUAUACAUAUUAUAUUAAAUUCAAUUAUGUUUAUAUCAGCUAUAUGUAUGUAGAUUUAACUCUUAAAGGCUGGUACUAUGUUCGUUUUUUGCA
Molecule: long non-coding RNA, 1372 nt
Organism: Stomoxys calcitrans (stable fly)
Lineage: Eukaryota; Metazoa; Arthropoda; Insecta; Diptera; Muscidae
Exons: 6
Source: RefSeq, a predicted model, not a curated record